Molecule: ribosomal RNA, 433 nt
Filed under: uncultured bacterium
Lineage: Bacteria
Description: partial 16S ribosomal RNA
Rfam family: Bacterial small subunit ribosomal RNA
Source: RNAcentral
AACGAACGCUGGCGGCAUGCCUAACACAUGCAAGUCGAACGAGACCUUCGGGUCUAGUGGCGCACGGGUGCGUAACGCGUGGGAACCUGCCCUUAGGUUCGGAAUAACUCCCCGAAAGGUGUGCUAAUACCGGAUAAUGUCUUCGGACCAAAGAUUUAUCGCCUUUGGAUGGGCCCGCGUUGGAUUAGCUAGUUGGUAGGGUAAAAGCCUACCAAGGAGACGAUCCAUAGCUGGUCUGAGAGGAUGAUCAGCCACACUGGGACUGAGACACGGCCCAGACUCCUACGGGAGGCAGCAGUGGGGAAUAUUGGACAAUGGGCGAAAGCCUGAUACAGCAAUGCCGCGUGAGUGAUGAAGGCCUUAGGGUUGUAAAGCUCUUUUACCCGGGAUGAUAAUGACAGUACCGGGAGAAUAAGCUCCGGCUAACUCCGUG